CAGAUUCUCAUCUUUCAGUCUGUAUCAUUUCAAUGUCAUCUGCUACAGAGAGGAACCUAGAUAAGGAAGCAGGAGUUUUCUGAUCACCCCCAACCCCCGAUGGCCGUGACUUCCACGGGUGGGGAAUUUCGGAAAACCUGAGUCCAGAAGGUUCAAUAAACACACAUCCAGAGCCAGUGAAACCUGCUCUACCCAUGAAUUUUAACUUCAGAGAAUGGUAACUUGAGAUUUAAGGAGAGUUCUUCAGAGGAUGGAAAGACUGGGAGCAAUAUCACCCCCGCCUCCCUAAGGAAAGACAGGUGUUUCCAAGGAAAGGCAUGAUGUGAGCAUGUACUUUCUGGGGGGCCUGGGGGUGCCAGAUGCCCUAAAAGCCAGUGAAGAGAAUUCUUCUCAAAUGCUGCUCGGAUCGCUGAGAGCCUGGAUGAGGAUGCAGAACCCCAGGGGUCAGAGACACAGAGGGGUCACAUGCUAGUGGGGCUGUCUUCCCUGGAUCCUUACCUGGUGCUCCCAAGAGAGAUGGAGGCAGGAUGUGAGUGUGGGAGAGCCCCUUGGUGUGUAUUUUAAUAAACUCAGUUUAUUGAUGUAUUGUGGUGAGGGAGAACACAUACCUUGGGGAAGUGUGGACUUCUCAGUAAGAGAGCAUCAAAAGGACUUAGCGUAGGACUGGGACCUGUGUUAAGUGACUUGCGAAGUGGAGUUUCUCGAAUUAGAUGCUGUUAGGAAGUGGGGGGUAUUUCUGUGAUUAAGCAUUGCUAUGGUUUGAAUGUUUGCCCCCUUCAAAACUCAUGUGAGAGCGUUGGGAAGUGGGACUGUUAAGAGGUGUUCAGCUCAUGAAUGGAUUCAUGCUAUUAUGAUGGUUUACCUCCUCUCUGUCUCUCUGCCUUGUUAUGAUACAGCAAGAAAGUCCUCACCAGAUGCCAGCACCUUGAUAUUGGACUUCCUAGACUCUAGAACUAUGGCUCUGUGUGAUUCAGGUGUUCCGUAAAGUGUGGGUUCACCAGGAGAACAGCUUCGCCUGACUGUGAGCACCAGGACGGCUCCCAUCUGAUGACAUAACGACUUGGACAGAUUGCAAGAGAAUAGUGCAAAAGGCUGGUCUCAAAAUGCUGCAGGGUGAAUGCCUCCAUUUGUGUAAUAUUCUUCAAAUGACACAGUUACAGAGAGGAAGCUUUUAAAGAAUAGCAGAUCAGCUUCAACUCCCAUAAGUAAAAUGGACUUAAGUUCUGAGAAGGUGGGGGAUCAGGGGCGGCCGGCUCCAGGCUCAGUGGAGGUAGCAGGUGUUUCUGCUCAGCCUGGGCUGAUCUUCUGCAAUGGCUUGGUCUUGUGACCCCAUACCCCCACUUUGUGGCACCUCCUGUCCUGGCUCUGACCCGCUGCCCAGCCCCCAUCUGGGCCCUGAUCCAUCCCAGGUCUCUCCCAGCAUGGACACCUGAGGGCGACUGGUUCCCCCUUGCAGCUCUGAGGGUCCUAGAUAGAGACGGAGGCUCUUUCCCAGCACUCCCUGUGCAAGUCCCAGCCUGGUUCUGAUUGGCCACAGUGGGUCACAUGUUUGUCCCAGAACCAAUCACUGGGAAUGGGAUGGAGUUGCUUGAUUGGUCAGACCUGCAUCACAUGACCCCCUUGUGAGGUCAGCAUCCAACCACAGAAAAGGGGGGGUGGUCGCUGUGCAGAGAAGAGGUGCCAGCAGCAGAGCCCGCCCUGUCCGCUCUGUGGUUCCACAUCCGUGCCUCUGAGGACCUUGGACUCCCAGAGCGAGGCCGCAGGGUGCGGAGAAUGCCUGACAGGCUCCCUUGCCCUGCCUGUGGCCUGCGGAGGACCCCCAGGGACAGUGAGGGGGGGCGCCUUGCCAGUCCUGACGUCCUCCUUAUCGUAGGUCUUGUGUUCCUGAUCCCAUUUCUUCUCUGAUUUUCAAAUUAAUGUUUUUUCUUUCAACUCCCACUCAAACCAAAAUAUUUUAUUUUUAAUUGACAAAUAAUAAUAGUAUAUACAUACGGGCUGACAGAUACAUGAAAAAUGCUGAUCAUCCCGGCCCCUCCAGUCAGGGCAGAGCUGAGGUUGGCCUGGGGCCGUGUCAGAGCGAGGGGCGUCUCUGGGCUGUGCCCGCAACCAAAACCUCCCACAGCAACCCUGCAUCAGGGCCAGAGUGGCUGUACCGGGAGCUAGACACUGGUCCACAGGAAAAGCUGCCUGUGAUGUGUCUCUGCCAGUGGGUGAACAGAUCACCAAAGUCACAAAGUCGUGGGCCAUAGGGCAGGACCCCGGCCUGUGUUUGUGGCCUAGACUGAGGCACAGCACAGUUGGGUUUUUUGGAGGUCUUGUCCUUUGAGCUGCUGCUUCUGAAGAGUGAUGCUUUCAGGAGGGAAUGAGGUCGUGGGGAUUUGCCCUCUGAAUGGGAUCUGUGGCCUUCGAAAAGAGGCCUGAUUUGGUUUGGAUCCAUGUCCCUUCCCGAAUCUCACAUCGAAUUGUAUUGGAGGUGGGGCCUGGUGGGAGGUGGUUGGAUCAUGGCGUGGAUUGUUCAUGAGUGGUUUAGCACCGGCCCUUUGCUGCUGCUGUCGUGACAGAGUUCUCAUGAGAUCUGGUUGUUUAAAAAUGUGUGGCACCUCCCAUCCCUCGGUGUUCCAUUGGUGUGAGAUGCCGGCUUCCCCUUCGCCUUCCGCCACGAUUGUGAGUUUCCUGAGGCCUCCCCAGAAGCCAAGCAGAAGCCACUAUGCUUCCUGUACAGUCUGUGGAACCGCGAGCCAAUUAAACCUCUUUUCUUUAUAAAUUACCCCAUCUCAGGUGUUUCCUUACAGCAGCGUGAGAACGGCCUAAUACGAGACCUGCUGAAGCGCCUGUCCCUUCUCCCUGUGAGGAUGCAGUGAGAGGGCGCCCGAGAGCCCUCACCAGAUACGGAGGCCUCUGGCCCCUUGACCUUGGCCUUCCCGGCCUCCAGCACUGUGAGCAACACGUCUCUGUUGUUUCCAAUGACUCAGUCUGAGGGAGUUCGUUAUGGCAGCCCAAAUGGACUGAGACGCCUCCUCCACGUGUGUAUUUCAUAAACGUUAUAAAACCA
Molecule: long non-coding RNA, 3052 nt
Organism: Macaca mulatta (Rhesus monkey)
Lineage: Eukaryota; Metazoa; Chordata; Mammalia; Primates; Cercopithecidae
Source: RefSeq, a predicted model, not a curated record